Long non-coding RNA from Homo sapiens (human), 1177 nucleotides. NCBI's taxonomy places the organism in Eukaryota, Metazoa, Chordata, Mammalia, Primates, Hominidae. The record is from Ensembl.
UGGGCUUCUCAAGUGAGGCAAUGCCUCGCCCUGCUUCAGCUCGCGCACGGUGCGGGCACCCACUGACCUGCGCCCACUGUCUGGCACUCCCUAGUGAGAUGAACCCAGUACCUCAGAUGGAAAUGCAGAAAUCACCGUCUUCUGCAUUGGUAGGCUGAGUAGUCUCAAGAUCUGAAGACAGCAGAAACCUGGGAAAGUUAAUGAUAUACGUUGUUAUACUCCAAGUGUGAGUCUGAAGACAAGGGAAGACCAACGUCCAAGCUUGAAGACAGUCAGAUAGAAUCAUUCUGCAGCCUGGCUAAGGAUGAAGAUAACUGAUAAACUAUUAUAUACCAGUGAGUAUUUCUGGCCCCUCUGUAGCUUGGGUUUUUUAUUGAGAACAAUUACUGUUUUAUAGUGCUUGGUAUGAUUUGGAGCACAAAAUUAAAUGCAACAAUUAGAGAGUAUAAUUUUUAUAGAAGUGUCAAAUAAAAGUUGUGCUAUUUUGGGAAACCAAGAAUGUUGGUUUAAUUUAAACUGAGCACAUUUUAGAGAGAACUCUGUCAUCUUUUACUGAUCUGUGAAGAUAACACCUAGAGUUAAAUUCAACAUCCAAAUGUUUAAUGUGAACGAGUUUCUUGAAUAAUAUACACUUCAACUUGCCUUGAACUAUCAGAAGACAAUUGCUCUAAACCAAUUUUAUUAAUCAAUCAUAAAAUAAAAUUCAACUCACUUAUUUUUCCAAAAAUCUAAAUCUCAAUGCUUUUUUAAACAUAUGUUCCAGUCACAUUUUAGGAAUUCAUUUCUAAAAUGAAUUUUAAUAAGCAAAGAAAUACAGCAAGAAAUGUUGUGAUUAGUACUGCAAAAAUAUGUAUUUUUUAAAUGGUGGCAGGAAAAAAUUUUAUUAUUCUAGAUAUUUGUUUUUCAUGUUUCAUAUUCUAUUCAUAUGCUGUGGCUAUUUUUCCAAAGAAUAUUGUUUUGCUUUUUUAAAACUAAAAAUGCCAGGAUGCAUACAGUAGACGAUCUUAUAUAACACUUUGCUCUUACAUUAGUACUUUACUUUCUACUUCCUUAAAUCAAUUUCAAUCCUUUCUCAUUAUAAUAAAGCUUCCUUGUUCUUCGUUUAGAUUUUUUCACUUUUUAAAAAAUUUUGUUAUUAUUAUACUUUAAGUUUUAGUGUACAUGUAAAAAAAAAAAA